AGAGGGCUCUUCCGGCGCCUUCCCAGGCGGGGAUGCUGCGGCACCUCCGGGCAACACCUAAUACUCGGGGCUCCGCUCGGCUUCUUCGCGCCGAGAUGCCUAAGAAGGCUGGUGCGACGACCAAGGGUAAAAGCCAGAGCAAGGAACCAGAGAGACCACUUCCUCCCUUAGGUCCUGUGGCAGUUGAUCCUAAAGGAUGCGUCACCAUAGCCAUCCAUGCAAAACCUGGCUCCAAACAAAAUGCUGUAACAGAUUUGACAGCAGAGGCUGUAAAUGUAGCUAUUGCAGCACCUCCAUCAGAGGGAGAGGCUAAUGCUGAGCUCUGUCGGUAUCUUUCCAAGGUCCUAGAACUCAGGAAGAGUGAUGUGGUUUUGGAUAAGGUAGGUCUCGCUCUCUCUUUUUUUUUUUGAGACAAAAUCUUGCUCUGUCGCCCAAGCUGGAGUGCAGUGGCGCAGUCUUGGCUCACUGCAACCUCCACCUCCUGGGUUCAAGCUAUUCUCCUGCCUCAGCUUCCUGAGUAGC
This 522-nucleotide small RNA is filed under the name Pan troglodytes (chimpanzee). Its description in RNAcentral is "retained intron". Lineage: Eukaryota; Metazoa; Chordata; Mammalia; Primates; Hominidae. The record is from RNAcentral.